GACGAACGCUGGCGGCGUGCCUAAUACAUGCAAGUAGAACGCUGAAGGAGGAGCUUGCUUCUCUGGAUGAGUUGCGAACGGGUGAGUAACGCGUAGGUAACCUGCCUGGUAGCGGGGGAUAACUAUUGGAAACGAUAGCUAAUACCGCAUAAGAGUAGAUGUUGCAUGACAUUUGCUUAAAAGGUGCAAUUGCAUCACUACCAGAUGGACCUGCUUUGUAUUAGCUAGUUGGUGGGGUAACGGCUCACCAAGGCGACGAUACAUAGCCGACCUGAGAGGGGGAUCGGCCACACUGGGACUGAGACACGGCCCAGACUCCUACGGGAGGCAACAGUAGAGAAUCUUCGGCAAUUGACGAGAGUCUGACCGAGCGACACCGCGUGAGUGAAGAAGAUUUUCGGAUCGUAGAGCUCUGUUGUUAGAGAAGAACGAAUGUGAAAGUGGAAAGUUCACACUGUGACGGUAUCUUACCAGAAAGGGACGGCUAACUACGUG
Molecule: ribosomal RNA, 495 nt
Filed under: uncultured bacterium
Lineage: Bacteria
Description: partial 16S ribosomal RNA
Rfam family: Bacterial small subunit ribosomal RNA
Source: RNAcentral